UGAUUUGAUUUCUUAACAAAUAGCGCCUAUAUUAAAAGGGUCGGGGGCAACUCCGUCUAAGAUGCUAAACGCUUCUCAGAAUAGACAUAGUGGACCCGGGGGCAGUACCCGGCGGCUCCACCACCAGCAGAGCUUUAAAACUCUUCUGCUGAUGGGGCCGAAACAGGAUCGACACGUGUAAUAAAGGUUUAGUCUGUAUCCGUAUGAGGCACGGUCGUUAUCCGUCCACGCAUGUAAAUGCAAACGAUAACACAGUAGUAGCAAACGACAACUUCGCAGUUGCCGUUAAAGCUGCCGCUUAAUUGCGCCAGUGAGCUACAAAUCCGGAAUAGCUACGGCUUAACGUGAGGUGCGGGGCGACCUAUCAACAGAACUGCCCCAUU
This 383-nucleotide transfer-messenger RNA is filed under the name Micavibrio aeruginosavorus. It matches the Rfam family "Alphaproteobacteria transfer-messenger RNA". Rfam says of the family: Bacterial tmRNA, also known as 10Sa RNA or SsrA, is named for its dual tRNA and mRNA-like properties. Its role is to liberate the mRNA from a stalled ribosome. To accomplish this part of the tmRNA is used as a reading frame that ends in a translation stop signal. The record is from RNAcentral. Lineage: Bacteria; Pseudomonadati; Bdellovibrionota; Bdellovibrionia; Bdellovibrionales; Pseudobdellovibrionaceae.